RNAcentral lists this long non-coding RNA (4075 nucleotides) under Sus scrofa (pig). RNAcentral's name for it is "lncRNA (ENSSSCG00000058532.1)". Lineage: Eukaryota; Metazoa; Chordata; Mammalia; Artiodactyla; Suidae. The record is from RNAcentral.
GAGUUUCCCAGGCUAGGCGUCCAAUCGGAGCUACAGCUUCUGGCCUACAACACAGCCACAACAACAUCAGGUCAUGGCAAGUCCGGAUCCUUAACUCACUGAGCAAGGCCUGGAAUCGAAUCUGCAACCUCAUGGUUCCUAGUUGAAUUCGUUUCCAGUGUGCCAUGACGGGAACUCCCUAAAUGGUUUCUUAAUAACGACUGCAUCUUCAUGACUUUCUGUCCAGGUGACCCUUCCCCCAACAUACAUCUUCCAGGGAGAGAACAGGACCACUGCUAAAACUCCCAGCGUUGGUAUCUCACUAACAUUUGCAGUUAGUGGAAGCUCAGUGGGGGCCCACACUUUUCCCUCAAUCCAGAACCCUGGAAUUCAAGUGUACCUUCUCUUCUGGUUGGUCAGAGAAUGCACAGCUGAGAUGCCAAUGGGCCUGCAGAAGGUCAGAGGAAUAAUCACUCAAUGGGUGUUCCAUGAAUACAGGAGCGCUAGCAUGAAGGCAUGCUCCGAGUUCCCUGUGAUGUAGAGUUCCUCUUCCUUCGGCUUGAGCCUGCUCUUGUAAGCUCAAUAAAGAAGACAACACACUAAGAUUUUUAUGAAAAUGUGUUGCUGUUGGGAAAGAGUAAAGCAAAAUCCAGGGUUCAGCACAAGCUGGGCCCUGCUUUUCCCAUAAGCAUUGCAACACAUGCCCACAUGCACACAUAAAAUUCACAAGGGUAUGAGAACAAGAAGUGACGCUUUUAUUUUUUUAAUUUUUAAAUUUUUUUAAAUUUCAUCUUUGGCCUCCCCGUGGCAUAUGGAGCUCCCGGGCCAGGGAUCAGAUCCAAGCUGCAAUCUUGACCUAAGCUGCAGGUGCAGCAAGGUCAGAUCUGGAUCCUUAACCCACUGUGCCGGGCUGGGGAUUGAACCUGUGCCCCAGCUCUUCCAAGACACCACCAAUCCCAUUGUGUCACAGAAGGAGCUUAGACAUUUUUAUAUCAUAAGGGAGCAAGUAGGCACAAUGACAGUCCACACAGGCCCAUGCUUUGCCACACCUGGUGUGCCAAUCUAGUCCUGACUCCCCAUCAAUUGUCCUUCACCUGACCCCACUGUGACUGAGCUUUUGCUGUGUGUUCUUCUUGCUCACAUUUCUGUGAUUUGGAGGAAAUUCUACCUGCCAUCAUCAAGUACAAUGUCACCUGAACUUGUACAAUCAGGUCAUCUGAUUGUGAGGUGACUCAUUCUGCAAGCUCUUUGGUUAACCCCACCCACACCUAAAAUUUGAAAAGCCCCAUUUCCUCCCAGAAGUAAGCUUUAUAGUAGGUGGUGGUGGUGGUGGGGUUGUCAUGAGAAUUUUCUAACCCUUUCUACUUGCUUGGGAUUGGUACUUUCUGAGGCUUCUUAACAACCGUUGUUUUAUGUAAUCUUACCAAAUCCCUCUCCAUAGAUGGAAAAGCUGUCAUUAUCAGCUCAUUUCAUAAGCGUAUUGCUCGGGGUUUGGAGAUGGUCUCCUCCCAGAUACUCCUGGGAUUUUGAUGUCAUUGUUGUGGUAAUGGGGUGAUGCACGUUGUUGGUGAAUUCUAGCGACCCUUUCACUGGCCCUCACAAACCGUCUGUCAUUUUUAAUCUGCAUUUGCUCCAGCUCUUUUCCUACCACUAACCUCAGGUCUACCUCAUUUCCAGGUCAUUAGGCUGAACCUCAUCUUCUAGAACCCAGAGAUCCAAAUGGCCUGGAUGCUUAAGCUAGGACAUAUGCGUGUGCAUGUGUGUGUGUGAGUGAGCGUGUGUGUGUAUUUAUAUGUGUGUAGAUCUUUUGUAUGUUUCCAUGAGAGCACUUCAGGAUGUUUGGACUUGCUACCACCUGCCCUUCCCCCUACUGGAGUCUGAACUUCCUUCUCCCCAACAGAUAAAAAGUGCAAUUCCUAGCUCUUUCCCCAGCUCUUUUCUCCAGGAAAAGCAGCUAUUCCUACCUUCUCUCCCAUUUCCCUUCUUUUUUUUUUCUCUCUCUUUUUUUUCAUUCUGAUUAUCUUCUUCUAAUCAUCACCAAGUUUAGCCAAGCAUAUAAAGCAUUUCUCUAGAGUCUGGCCCAGGCAGACUCAGAGUCCCCAGAGUCUCAGAGUCCCCUGAAAAUCUAAACGAUGUGAUAAGAGAAAACCAUGUCUGGUUUCACUGCUUGCAUGGUUGGUCAAAGGCUCCAUCCAAGGAGGACCCUUGGAGAACCCAGAGGGUAAAGAGAACUGCUCUCUUGGGAUUACUCCCUUCCUGAGUCAAAGCGGAGACUUCCGUAUCGAAUUGGGAUGGGGUGGAGCCGCCAUCCCACUCUGCAGAUGUCAUCGUCAGCAGGAUGAAUGCUGAGAGACCUGAGCAGAGAACAUGCUGGGGCUUGGGCUACAUGGGGGUUUUCCAGGAGCUCUAUUUGGAAGAAAACAGGUCAGGCAAACUAGAGAGUCAGCAAAUACAGAGACCCAAGGUCAAUGCCGCCAGAAGAGAUUGAGAAGAGCCAGGCUGACUAGCAGCAAUUUAUCUGCAGGGAGGGAAGGAGGUUUGAACAAUGCUGUGUUCGCCUGACCUUGUUCCCUUAAGCAAAAGGAAUUUUUCAAACAUGUGGUCUUGGGCUGUACAGCUGGCUUGAUGGAAGCCCAGGCAUUGUAUGAAUGGGGUUUUAUAGAGAAUUUAACCCUGAGGUGAUGUUAGCGGAUACAGGCAAUUCAGAGGAAAGAUUCUCCUCGUGUCUUUACAGACUUUGGUAGGAGGAGCAUAGAACAGGAGACUCUUGAGGUUUCAGAUCCUGCCACUUAGGAGCACCUUUCCACCCCCCCCCCCCGCCUUGUCCCCAGAGGUUCUAAGAGAACCUGCAGGAGGCCCCUCCUGGUGCUGGAUAUCAUGGGUCUAAGGACAAAAAGGGACUGUUCCUCUCUCCACAAGCUCCUUUGUAGGGAAGUCCCUGAGAAUAAUCCCUGUAGGGGGCGUUGAGACCUUCUAUCACUUCCACGUGAUAAUUUUCCCCUCUCCUGGGCAGCAGAUGAGAUUAACAGACCAUGAUGAUGGUUUAUUGUCCUUAAGCAAAGAUAAGCUAUUUCUGCAACUAGGCAAGAGAGCGUGUAAUGUCUAAAGUGACCCGGAUUGUGGGGAAAUAUGCCUGCCUUUUCAAAAUAUACUUUUACAAAAAGGUUAGGCAAGGGGAGGGAGUGAGAUGGACUGAAAGUUUGGGGUUAGUAGAUGCAAACUAUUGCAUUUGGAGUGGAUAAGCAAUGAGAUCAUGCUGUAUAGUGCAGGGAACUAUAUCUAGUCACUUGUGAUGGAACAUGAUGGAGGAUAAUGUGAGAAAACGAAUGUAUAUAUGUAUGACUGGGUCACUUUGCUGUACUACAGAAAUUGACAGAACAUUGUAAAUCUAUAAUAACAACAAUUUAUAAAAAAGUUUAGGGAGAUCACUGCUGUUCUACAUGAGGGCAUUGAAGUGUGUCCAUUAGAUCUGCUUUCUCUCCUCUCACCUCAUCCUUAGAACAGCAGCCCUGUGGGGCCUGCAGAGCUUAGCUCAAGUGACCAGCCACUCCUCCCUCCAAGGUGCGCAAAUUCAGAGGCCCAGAACCAUUGGGUGAUUGAAAAGUCUUAUCUUCAGGCAGAAAGCUGGGAGCAGAGCAAAUAAUAACUGGGUGUUGUUUGACUCGUUGGGGGGAAAAAUAAGGAGUAUAAAGUCUUUUCUGUGAGUGCCCUGACAUUUUUGUUUCACCAGGCUGAAAAAAGACUGAAGUAUGAGUUUGCUAGAGCAGCCAUAUCAAGUUACCAUACACUGAAUGACUUAAAGUAACAGAAAAUUUAUUCUCUCACAGCAGUGGAGGCUAGAAGUCUGCAGUCAAGUCAUCUUUAGAGGGGUUCCCAUUGUGGCUCAGUGGGUUAAAGACCCAAUGUUGCCUCUGUGAGCAUGCAGGUUCAAUCCCUGACCUCGCUGAGGGGGUUAAGGAUCUGGUGUUGCCAUAAGCUUUGGUGUAGGCCACAGAUGUGGCUCAGAUCUGGUGUUGCUAAGGCUGUGGCUGUGGCCUCAGCUGCAGCUCUGGUUCAACCCCUAGCCUGGGAACUUCCACAUGCUGCAGGUGCAGCC